This 301-nucleotide ribosomal RNA is filed under the name uncultured bacterium. RNAcentral's name for it is "partial 16S ribosomal RNA". It matches the Rfam family "Bacterial small subunit ribosomal RNA", at positions 509 to 807 of the family's 1533-position model. The record is from RNAcentral.
CAGCAGCCACGGUAAUACGGAGGAUCCAAGCGUUAUCCGGAAUCAUUGGGUUUAAAGGGUCCGUAGGCGGUCUUGUAAGUCAGUGGUGAAAGCCCAUCGCUCAACGGUGGAACGGCCAUUGAUACUGCAGGACUUGAAUUAUUGGGAAGUAACUAGAAUAUGUAGUGUAGCGGUGAAAUGCUUAGAGAUUACAUGGAAUACCAAUUGCGAAGGCAGGUUACUACCAAUUGAUUGACGCUGAUGGACGAAAGCGUGGGUAGCGAACAGGAUUAGAUACCCGAGUAGUCCCUGUCUCUUAUAC